AAUGAACGCUGGCGGCGUGGUUAAGACAUGCAAGUCGAACGGUUUUUCAGGUGUAGCAAUACAUUUGAAGAGCAGUGGCGAACGGGUGCGUAACACGUGAACAAUCUACCUUUUAGUGUGGAAUAGCUCGGCGAAAGCCGGAUUAAUACCGCAUGUGGUUGCCUCUCGCAUGAGAGACAUACUAAAGUCAGGGACCGCAAGGCCUGACGCUAUUAGAGGAGUCGCGGCCUAUCAGCUAGUUGGCGAGGUAACGCUCACCAAGGCUAAGACGGGUAGCUGAUCUGAGAGGAUGAUCAGGCCACACUGGAACUGAAGACACGGUCCAGACACCGUACGGGUGCAGCA
RNAcentral lists this ribosomal RNA (345 nucleotides) under uncultured bacterium. RNAcentral's name for it is "bacterial SSU rRNA". It matches the Rfam family "Bacterial small subunit ribosomal RNA", at positions 29 to 353 of the family's 1533-position model. The record is from RNAcentral.